This is a long non-coding RNA of Ictalurus punctatus (channel catfish), 1300 nucleotides long. Lineage: Eukaryota; Metazoa; Chordata; Actinopteri; Siluriformes; Ictaluridae. The record is from Ensembl.
UUUGUAAAAAAAAAAAAAAAAAAAUGGAAAAAGAAUAAUUAUUUUGUGUGUUAAAGCUGAACUGAAACAAAAUAACGGUCAUAAGAACUAAGAAAGCUUUCCCCUCAGUGUUCUCAGAUUUGCACAAAUUGGUUGUUCUUAAGCAGUCAUCAACUAGAUGAAUACCAAGUGCUGAGGACAGAAGGGGAUAGUCAAAAAAAAGUUCUUGUUGAUGGUACUGUAGGCUACAUAAAUUUCAUCCUUCAUUGAAAAUAUAUUUUGCAGCUUUGCAACUUUAACACCAAUGUAAACAAAACUGUUAGCUUGGUCCGGUUUUAGAGUGUAAGAGCAUGUUUUUAUUUCUUUUACUGUGAAGGUCCAUGAAAAGAUUCAGAUAGAGGGCCAGCUGUAUGUAGUUUUCUGAGCAAUUAUGGGUUCUUUUUCUCUGCUGCAGCUUUGCAUUUUGGAGAACCUUCUUACAAUUUGACUUGGCGGACAUGUAGGUUUCCACAGGAGUCUCUUCAGCUUCUUCAGUGCCCUUGUAUUGCAUGCAAAUUCCAUGGGAACAUUUUUCUGGGCACCAACCAACCUAUCUGUCAGCACAGUGACUUGGGAUCAUGACAGCCUGCAAAUGAGAGCACCCAGCCGAAGCCACAAGUGGAGAAGCCACCUCAUGCUGCCAAGGUACACAAGGUGCAUGUAAUCAAUGGGGAAUCCAGAGACCAUGUCCAGGGAGGUUUCUUCCAGAUGUGAGGUGCCAUGGUGUUGAUCCGAAUCAGUUUUAUUUAGGAAACUCUCAAUAUUUCUAAAAUCAUGCCUUCUAGGGAAGGUCAUUCUGUUUUCCAGGUACAAGCUGUCCUGAAUGCACUUUUCGCAUCCAUGGUAGCCUGUGUGUCCUUUCACCUUUUUUUAAGAAGUGCACAUGCAGGUGCUUCACAAACCAUUGAGGCAGAAACGGGGCCAACACUUCCGCUGAUGCCGGAGUUUCAUCAGGACGAAGGUAACCUGUUUAACUAUGCAUGGCAAGAACUAGUGAAGGGGUGUCCAAUCCUGCUCCUGGAGGGCCAUUGUCCUGUACAGUGUAGCUCCUAAAUCUGAAACGGCUAAAAAAGAAACUUCCAAGCAGGUGUGGAGACAAGUUGAAACUAAAUUCUGUAGGACAGUGGCCCUCCAGGACUGAGUUUGGACACCCCUGAACUAGUGGCUCUACAUAAUGAUUUUUGCAUGUUACUAUUGCUUGUUUCAUUAGUUUAGUGCUUAUUAAACUUAAUCAGUGCACGCCUAUGUCUUCCAGGCUGCUGCCACAAGCAUCGGACCGAAG